This 1937-nucleotide unclassified non-coding RNA is filed under the name Eurytemora carolleeae. Its description in RNAcentral is "innexin inx2". The record is from RNAcentral. Lineage: Eukaryota; Metazoa; Arthropoda; Copepoda; Calanoida; Temoridae.
AUAUACUAUAGCCAGUAAAUAUAGCCGGGCCGGGCUAACUGGACUGCCCCAAACCCCCCUUCUGCUGAACCGCAAAGGACGCCGGAAAUAUCAUCAGUGAUUUUUGAUUCGUCACGAAUGCAUGUGACGCUGAUUUCUCAGUAAAAACCAUUCUGAACAAAGAGGUUUUUGCGUUUUGAGUCGAGGUCAGACUUAAUCCAAAGAUGACGUUGUAUGGGUUUUUGGGUGGGUACAAGAGGCUUUUCAGCUUCAAGGACUGCCUGAUAGAUAAUAUGACGUUCAGAUUGCAUUACCAGUAUACGUUUGCUGUUCUUAUUCUUGCUAGCAUCCUUAACACUGCUAAACAAUACUUUGGGGAUCCUAUAGACUGUAUAGUAGAGGGAGUUCCUUCCAGUGUGUUCAAUUCUUACUGCUGGAUUCAUGGAACCUUCACUCUACCAGCUCAGCUUACAGGUAGACUUGGAGUUGAUUUCCCCCAUCCUGGUGUUGGUCCAUAUCCUGUUACUGCAGAUAGAGGGCUCGUCAAGGUGACGGAAGAAGGAGAUGAGAUUCGGCAUGCUUGGUAUCAAUGGGUUGUAUUUGUUCUUUUCUUCCAGGCGUGCUGUUGUUAUUUCCCACAUUUUCUGUGGAAAAGUUUCGAGGGCGGGAAGAUUGGAAUGCUGCUGCAGGAUUUGAACGGCUAUGUGCUGACUGGAGGGGAAAACACUGAAAACAAAAGGGCGCUUAUCGUAAAUUACUUCUUGCGGACCUUGAGGACAAACAACAUGUACGUGUUUAAGUUCCUGGGUUGUGAAUUCCUCAAUCUGAUCAACAUUUUCGGUCAGAUGUACCUUAUGGACGCCUUUCUAGGAGGAGAGUUCAGUACAUAUGGUUCAGAUGUACUGAGAAUGACAGGAUUGGAUGAUGAAGAAAGAGUGGAUCCUAUGGCUAAGGUUUUCCCUAAGGUUUCUAAAUGUACCUUUCACAAGUAUGGACCGUCUGGAACUAUAGUCAAUCAUGAUGGACUCUGCAUUCUUCCCAUCAACAUUAUCAACGAAAAGAUUUAUAUUUUUCUGUGGUUUUGGUUCCUAUGCCUUAUCUGCUGGACUUCAUUGUUUUUCUGCUUUAGAAUUGUUACAUGUGCAUCCAGGCGAACUAGAUUUCUCAUAUUCUGCGGACGAGCUAAAUCAAAUAGCAAGGACGACAUUUCAGUAGUGAUGGAAAAGCUGUGGUUUGGAGACUGGUUUAUCCUGAUGCAGUUGUGCAAGAAUAUGAAUCCAAUGAUCUUUCAUGAUUUAGUCAUUGAUCUCAGAGAUAGGAUGGAUCCGAAGAGAAGUGACAAUAUUGAAAUGGAAAACGGAAAUACGUAUCCUACUCUUCCUCUUCUAGAGGAACCCAGAGCUCCGUAUAAGGAGAUUCCAUAGACAUAAUCAUUAUAGGAAGACUCCAUAGACAUAAUCCAUACAAGGAGAUUCCAUAGACAUAAUCCUUAUGAGGAGAUUCCACAGACAUAAUCCAUACAAGGAGAUUCCAUAGACAUAAUCAAUACAAGGAGAUUCCAUAGACAUACUUCAUACAAGCUUAUAGACUGUUGAUGAAUCGAAGCAAGUUCGGAAUUACAGGUUUAUAUUAGUGAUGCCACGAAAUCAACUACCUCAAUGAAAAGCUUAUGCCGGCGGUGUUUUGAAUGGUUAAUUCAUUGCGUAAGAUCGUAAUAUUUGGCCCGCCAAGUUUUUUAAACUAUAUUUUAAGUUUAAAUAUGUUUCUAAAUUCCAUAUCUUAAAAUAUUAUCUUAUCACUUGAUACAUUAUGAAUUGCUUUUAGUAAUAACAAGUUACUCAUGUUUUUUUACGGUGCCAUUGAAAAUUGGCUAAUUUAGUGUUAAUUAAUUUGUAACAAGUAGUUUUUAAUAUCUCCUGUAGUUGUAGACAAAUUUUCAAUAAAGGUAUGAUAAUGUA